CUGAAAUUUGCUUCUAAAACGUCUAGAAAAGAGAAUUCUUUCAGGAUCCACCCUGUGUGUGUGUGUGUGUGUGCGUGCACGCGCGCACACAGCAAUGAAACUAAAUGAUUCUGAAAAUCUUAAUGUGUGUAUGUUUGUGUUGCUUAGUUACUGGGCACUUUGUUGUCUCCCGUUAAUACUGAGUUGCCAGAGUUGCAAGUUGACCUAACUUAUGUGUUUGUUUUUUUCUGGUGGGAGAUCUUAAUUUUUUUUCUCCAGUGUGUCAGGAGAUGAGUCACUUGGUUUUAAAAAGCUGCGUUCAUCUAAUCAAGUGGUGUGGAGGAGGAAGACUGGAAGAUGAGUAAACUGCUCUUAAUAAAUAUAACAUAUAGGAGCCCUGUCAUGGAUCGGGACCCUAUUGUGUUAGGGGCUGUACAAACACAGAACAAAAAGAGUCCCUGCCCUAAAGAUGUUACAGUCUAGAUAAUUGUAGAAUCCAGCACUACUGAGAGAACAGCAUUCAUUCAGAUCCAUCCUAUCAUUGAUUUUUGUUGGUCCACGGCAAGGACUGAACACUAAAAGGACUGCUUUUUUUAGACUGCUAGAAAUCUCUCUAAUCUGAACUAUUAAUACUAUGCUAAGACCUAUAGAAAACACGUGGAAAAACCUGGAAUGCCAGCACCAGCACUUUCUUCAGAAGAUCCUCAACAUAAAAUGGGAGGAUCGCAGCACUAAUGUCAGUAUCCGCACAGAGGCCAACAUCUUUGGUGUUGAGGCCCUGAUUAUCCUGCGUCGAAUGAGGUGGAGUGGGAACCAUGUACGCAUGCCUGAAGAAAGCUUACCAAAACAACUGCUGUGCGCCCACCUUACCAAAGGAGAAAGGAAAUAGGGAGGCCAAAAGAAAUGCUUUAAAAACAUCCUCAAGAUAAACAUCAAGAGAUGUGGCAUCAACACCACACACUGGGAGACAGCAGCCGAGGAUAGGGAUAACUGGCAAAGACAGAGAGGGAACAUCCACUUUUGGGGAAAAUCGCCUUGCCCUGGUUGCAGAAAAACACUAGAAAAGCAAGGACCGACUACUCUCAUGCAGCAAUCGUGGCCCAACCCUGUCUUCCAACACCACCUGCAAUAUCUGCCUGUGGCUCAAGGAUUGGACUCCAGUCACCAGAGCACCCAUGAAAAAUAAAACCCGUGAAAGAGAUUGUGACAUUGCACUCCAUAUGAUUUUAUGAAAAUAUGAUGAGUGUGAAUAUAAUGUAACUGGAAUAUGCUUAUGCAAAAGGUCUCUUGUAAGGUAUCAUUACAAAGCUUAUAAUCUGAGUGUGGUCAUCCUAUUUGUAUGAAUGAUACAUUCUUGUAUCUGAAACUAGAAAUAUGAAAUAUAACUCUGAGGUCCUAUUGUAAUUAUGCAAAGUUUGGGCCAUUAAUGGUGGUUUGGAAUCUUGUUGGCUCCCAUCAACUAGGACAAUUGGUUGUAAAUGGCUCUGUUUACUUGCAAGCCUUCCUGUUAGUUAGACUAGGAAGAAUGAAGGCUUGCAGUUUCACAGGACAUGUGGCCAUGUCACUUGGUACUGGAAUCCAUCUUAAACCUGGUGCUUUUCCAUUUAGAAGGAGAAAGACAAAAGAUUCCCACCUUGUGCCAAAAGGGGUAGAACAGAACAAAGAAGUUUCCAGUCAUGAGAACUCCCUUAGUUAUCACCUGAGCUGGAGCUAACGAGAACUCUACCAGGGGAAAGGAUUGGGCCCAGAGUAGGAAGGAGUACAGUCUGUGAAAGAAGCUUAUUGGAACAUCUGUGAGGGUGAGAUGUAUCUGUAAUCAGUUUCUUAAUUUAUUAGGCUUAGAUUUGUGUGUUUUUUGUUUUGUUUUGUUUGGUAACUUACUUUGUUCUGUAUGUUUAUUACUUGGGACCACUUAAAUUCUACUUUUUAUAUUUAAUAAAAUCACUUUUGCUUAUU
Chelonia mydas (Green sea turtle) is the source of this 1935-nucleotide long non-coding RNA. RefSeq lists it as uncharacterized. Lineage: Eukaryota; Metazoa; Chordata; Testudines; Cheloniidae. The record is from RefSeq and is a predicted model, not a curated record. The transcript is spliced from 3 exons.